CGACAUGCAUUGUUGUAGGAUCGUAUUCUGUGCACGGCUGCUUUUGUCAAUGUGUUAUUAUUCUGUCCGCGAAAGCAGUUCGCAAGGAAUAAUCAUGGAUACAUCGGAAGAAAGAAAUAUAUCCCGCUUCUCGAGGAUAUCCAUUCAAAAGACGAUUGAAUAGAAUCAAAGCGAUACUAGAAUGUUGUGCAAUUAUUUUUCACACUCAGAAUUUUACUUCAUGAUUAUUAUUAUGGUAUACCUUCGAUACUUUAAAAUUCAAUUGUCAUAUUAAAAUCUUAUGAGAAAAAUA
This is a non-coding RNA of Megalopta genalis, 292 nucleotides long. NCBI's taxonomy places the organism in Eukaryota, Metazoa, Arthropoda, Insecta, Hymenoptera, Halictidae. The record is from RefSeq and is a predicted model, not a curated record.